UUUGGGUUAGGGAUUGCAGCGACAUCCUUUUUUUGCUUUGAUAAGUGGCAAAAAAAGAUAUAGCGUAAAGCCCGACCAACU
Molecule: small RNA, 81 nt
Filed under: Mesonia oceanica
Lineage: Bacteria; Pseudomonadati; Bacteroidota; Flavobacteriia; Flavobacteriales; Flavobacteriaceae
Description: Flavo-1
Rfam family: Flavo-1 RNA
Source: RNAcentral